Molecule: ribosomal RNA, 1611 nt
Filed under: Triticum aestivum (bread wheat)
Lineage: Eukaryota; Viridiplantae; Streptophyta; Magnoliopsida; Poales; Poaceae
Description: partial small subunit ribosomal RNA
Source: RNAcentral
AUGGCGUCGUCCCCCGCGCGCCCCGCCGCCGCGUCCGUCUCCGGCGCCUUCGGCCUCCCGCCCGACGCCCGCUGCUCCUUCGACCAGACGCGCCGCCGCGCCGAGGAUUCGCAGGACAAGAGGCAGCUGGUGCGGACGUUCGUCAACGUGUACGGCCAGGAGGGCUACCCCAAGGAGGCCGUCAUGGCGGCCGUCGAGGAGUGCAUGAGGAAGCAGGCCGAGGGACUGCUGCAUUCGCUCGAGGGCAUCGGGGGGAGGCUCUCGCAGCUCGAGCUCUACUGCUACAAGCUCGAGCGCUCCAUCGGGGAGCUGCGCAGCGACGUCAUGGACUACCACAGCGAGGGCACCGUCAACUUCCGCUGCCUCGACAAGAAUCUCAGACAGGUUCAGAAAGCUGUGCAGAUGCUUCAGGAUAAGCAUGAGCCUGCUGACACGGCGCAGCAACUGGCCAAACUUCAAAUAGCGCAUGAAUUCCCUGCUAGAACAAAUGAAGCCACUGCCUUGUCGAUGCUUGCUUCAAGGGAAAAUGUCAACGAUCAGAGCACACAAUUCGCCAACCCUGAGGUUUCUUUUGUGCCAAUUCACCAAGUUAAUACCAUGCAGUCUCCUGCUAUGCCGAACCAAAGUAGCGGCGGUUAUAUUCUGCAGCAACUAGUGCCCGUCUCUUUGAGCACGCAACAUGAUCAGCAACAUCCGAGCCAAGCUGCGGUGUACUAUAUGCAAAGCCAAAGUCAAGUGAACUGCACAGAGAACAAACCGUCCGAGUCUUUUGUUCAGGUUAUGCAGCCGCAUGUCCAGAACCCUGAAGCCAGGGUUGCAGUUGAGCUACCUCAGAAAUCUAGUCAGCCAACGGAAAUGUACCCUCCACUGCAGCAUCAUAUGCUACAAAUGCCUGCUCAGCAUCACGAGUCACAGGCAUGGCGAUCACAGCCACCUGUCGCGCAACAGCAGCACUACAGUGUUCAGCAAGUCCCACCACAGAUGGUUCAACAGAAAACAUCUUCUCCUCAUGCUCAAAGUACUCCUCAAGUCACGCUCAUGUAUCCUCAAUACUCUUCUCAGAAGCCUGCCAAUGCUACCACUGAGCCACUUCCGAGAAGUUUGGUUGGGCAGUCUCCAUACUCUUCACCCCAGCAGAAGCAUCAUGAAGUCAUGCCUUCGUUUUAUGGCCAAGGCAACACAAUUUUGCUUCCCACGGCAGAGCAUAAUAUCCAGCAUCAACAGCCACAGCAACUGCAAACGCAGAGCCAGGCCUCAUGCCCACCUCAACCAAACAAGCCCAGCCACUGCAGUGUUGCAUCAUAUGCUGUUCAGGGUAGUGGCCGAGCCCACACUGCCACAUAUAAGAAUCCUGCUGAGAGCCCUGCAACUGUUGUUGCUGUUCUGCCUCAGCAUUCGGCAACAGCUCCUAUGGCGUUUCAUCAUUUGGGGCAACAAAUCUUGCAUAAGAAUCCAUAUGGAAGUAUGUUUGAAACGACCAGUGUAGUAGGGUAUCCACAUGAUCUGGUUGGGAGUAUGACGCUUCCAGUGGUGACUGCGGACUCCAGUAACAUGGUUGAUAAGCUCAAUGCUGGUAGCAAUGUUACAUCCCCGCGAGACUGGCCUGCAUAG